This 378-nucleotide ribosomal RNA is filed under the name uncultured organism. RNAcentral's name for it is "bacterial SSU rRNA". It matches the Rfam family "Bacterial small subunit ribosomal RNA", at positions 526 to 896 of the family's 1533-position model. The record is from RNAcentral.
CAGAGACCUCAAGCGUUAUCCGGAAUCAUUGGGCGUAAAGCGUACCGGUAGGUGGUUUACCAAGUCAGAUGUGAAAUCUCCGAGCUCAACUCGGAAUCUGUCAUUUGAAACUGGUAGACUAGAGGGGCAAAGAGGAAGCUGGAACGAACGGUGUAGUAGUGAAAUGCGUUGAUAUCGUUCGGAACACCAAUAGCGAAGGCGGGCUUCUGGGUGCCACCUGACACUGCUAGGACGAAAGCGUGGGGAGCGAAUGGGAUUAGAUACCCCAGUAGUCCACGCUGUAAACGAUGUACAUUCGCUGCUAGGGAGUAUCGACCCUCUUUAGUAGCUAAGCUAACGCGAUAAAUGUACCGCCUGGGGAGUACGGCCGCAAGGCUA